UGGGGAAUAUUGGACAAUGGGCGAAAGCCUGAUCCAGCCAUGCCGCGUGUGUGAAGAAGGUCUUCGGAUUGUAAAGCACUUUAAGUUGGGAGGAAGGGCAGUAAGUUAAUACCUUGCUGUUUUGACGUUACCAACAGAAUAAGCACCGGCUAACUUCGUGCCAGCAGCCGCGGUAAUACGAAGGGUGCAAGCGUUAAUCGGAAUUACUGGGCGUAAAGCGCGCGUAGGUGGUUUGGUAAGAUGGAUGUGAAAUCCCCGGGCUCAACCUGGGAACUGCAUCCAUAACUGCCUGACUAGAGUACGGUAGAGGGUGGUGGAAUUUCCUGUGUAGCGGUGAAAUGCGUAGAUAUAGGAAGGAACACCAGUGGCGAAGGCGACCACCUGGACUGAUACUGACACUGAGGUGCGAAAGCGUGGGAGCAAACA
This 426-nucleotide ribosomal RNA is filed under the name uncultured bacterium. Its description in RNAcentral is "partial 16S ribosomal RNA". It matches the Rfam family "Bacterial small subunit ribosomal RNA", at positions 355 to 774 of the family's 1533-position model. The record is from RNAcentral.